UGAUGUGAUCGCUCAUUUGGUAGAGCAUGAGACUCAUAAUCUCAUGGUCAUGGGUUCGAGAGCCCUGUUGCUCAA
Non-coding RNA from Podarcis lilfordi (Lilford's wall lizard), 75 nucleotides. The record is from the annotation of a GenBank genome assembly. NCBI's taxonomy places the organism in Eukaryota, Metazoa, Chordata, Lepidosauria, Squamata, Lacertidae.